RNAcentral lists this ribosomal RNA (484 nucleotides) under uncultured bacterium. RNAcentral's name for it is "partial 16S ribosomal RNA". It matches the Rfam family "Bacterial small subunit ribosomal RNA", at positions 30 to 507 of the family's 1533-position model. The record is from RNAcentral.
AUUGAACGCUGGCGGCAGGCCUAACACUUGCAAGUCGAGCGGAUGAAGCGAGCUUGCUCCUGGAUUCAGCGGCGGACGGGUGAGUAAUGCCUAGGAAUCUGCCUGGUAGUGGGGGAUAACGUCCGGAAACGGGCGCUAAUACCGCAUACGUCCUGAGGGAGAAAGUGGGGGAUCUUCGGACCUCACGCUAUCAGAUGAGCCUAGGUCGGAUUAGCUAGUUGGUGGGGUAAAGGCCUACCAAGGCGACGAUCCGUAACUGGUCUGAGAGGAUGAUCAGUCACACUGGAACUGAGACACGGUCCAGACUCCUACGGGAGGCAGCAGUGGGGAAUAUUGGACAAUGGGCGAAAGCCUGAUCCAGCCAUGCCGCGUGUGUGAAGAAGGUCUUCGGAUUGUAAAGCACUUUAAGUUGGGAGGAAGGGCAGUAAGUUAAUACCUUGCUGUUUUGACGUUACCAACAGAAUAAGCACCGGCUAACUUCGUG